AAGGUUGGAAGAUGUGCUGGAUUGUAGCUCUGCCAGGGCGGGUUCUUUUUAUGUUCAAACAAGAAUAAAUCUUUGGUGGUGGUUGUUUAUCCUCAGUGGCAUUGUUUUCAUGUGAGGAGAGAAAGACUGUGGUGUCAAGGUGGCACAGCAGCACUCUGAGAUGCUUGAGGGCUCAGGGUGAGACUUGAGAGCCACAAUUUCCCUCAAGUAGUGGCAGUGACUAAAAACAUCUCAAAACCUCAAGGAAAAACAGGUUGCUUACCUAUAACUGAUGAUCUGGAAGCAAUCAAUUGCCAUUCAUAAUACUGGGUUCUGUGCCUGUACAGGACCAUUCGGGUGGAAGUCAAUAGCUCCUUCUGGUGCCCAGAACCACCCCGUGCAUGUGCUGCACAUCUGUCAUUUUCUGAGCUUUGGCACCAUUUUACUUUAGUUCUUUGAAGACCAUUAAUCAAGGAAAAUAAUUCUGAGGAGUUACACCACUGAGAUACAAACGCUGUGGUGGUCAGAAAGGAACUGAAAUAAAAUGGCACCAAACCAUCGACAAUAGCGUACAGUACAUGCAGCACAUGCACAGGCGGUUCUGGGCACCACAAGGAGCUAUUGAAAUCCACCCAAAUGGUCCCAUGCAGGUGCAGAACCCAGUAUUAAUGUAUACCAAUGGAUCACAAUCCAGAUCACUAAGUAUUUCUAUGUCAAGAAUUUGCAUUCCAGGAAAAUCAAAUGACUUUUAAGAUGCUCCAGGACCACCUGAAAUUAACAACACCCUUCUCUAGAAAAACUAGCACAGUCACAGUAAUGGCUGCUACUACGCUGUUUCUGAGGGCAGGUCCAAGAUUCAGGUCCAAGACACUAAGAUUCAUUGCCAUCCAUCAUUUUGUCUCUAGGAAGCCAGGAAAAAACAGGAGGAGCCAUUUUGUGGCUCAUUUCGGGGGUGGGAUCGGACUUGCCCCCAUGAUUUUUCACGGUUUGUUGGGGGGUACAUUCCUGAGCACAUGGAGGACCAGUAGAGCAUGCCUGAGUAAGUUCUGGCCCAUUUUUGGGUCGUUUGGCAGCUGUAAACAUUUUUCCUUCCACCUUGGCAUCUAACCCCUCUUUCCCCAUAGACCUAAUACCUCAUUACUCACAGUUCCAUUACUCGCAGUAGUAGACGAGGAACGGAACCCCCGCAAGCAACAAGGUUCUCCUGUAUAUGUUUUUCCUGCUUUUCAAAGCACUAAUAAAAAGAUUAUAUUAAACUUAGUGGGUUCAGGCAGCUUACCACAUUUUCAUCAUUAACACAUAAUAUUGUUGGGAUUUAUAUGUAAAUACAUUGUCUUUGUUCUUGCCACUGAGGUAUUUUAUGUAUAACUGUGUAUAGGCUUGGUGUGGAGUUUAGAAUGUUCGUGCGAAUCAUCAGUUCUGUAGACUGAUUGUUCAAUUUGUAUUUUUUUACUGAAUGCUUGAGACUUAUUUUUCUGUUAGGAUGAUCUUUCAGCUCAGAGUAGGACUAAUUUUUUAAAUUUAUUUAUUUAUUUAACUAACAUAUUUUUAUACC
Hemicordylus capensis (graceful crag lizard) is the source of this 1534-nucleotide long non-coding RNA. RefSeq lists it as uncharacterized. The record is from RefSeq and is a predicted model, not a curated record. The transcript has 3 exons. Lineage: Eukaryota; Metazoa; Chordata; Lepidosauria; Squamata; Cordylidae.